GGACUCUGAAUCCAGCGAUCCGAGUUCA
This 28-nucleotide non-coding RNA is filed under the name Xenopus tropicalis (tropical clawed frog). Lineage: Eukaryota; Metazoa; Chordata; Amphibia; Anura; Pipidae. The record is from RNAcentral. RNAcentral also lists the same sequence under 2 other names.